UAAAUCAAGAUGAAGUCAUGCCAAGCCUG
RNAcentral lists this non-coding RNA (29 nucleotides) under Mus musculus (house mouse). Lineage: Eukaryota; Metazoa; Chordata; Mammalia; Rodentia; Muridae. The record is from RNAcentral.